CCGGGCGAUUUGCAUUUCAAUGGGUUCCGCUGGUAGACUCAGUGCCGGGCACUUCCGCAGCUCCUACCAGAUCUGCCUUUGUUGGUUUUAGCUCAGGUCAAGUUCAUUUCUUGGGACUGGGGGAGCGGCGCGCGUUGAGUCUGUGUAGUGAGGCAGAACGCGCGCGCCGGGAAGGAAGGAGCCGCGCGCCCUUUGUCUGCGCAGCCCGAGGCUCGGAGCGCCUGCUUCAUCUACGAGUACUGAGGAUUGAACUGAGGGCCUCAUACAUGCUAGAAAAUAGCAGGUAUUCAGUCAAGGCUGGAACAAAGGUGGAGCAGGCAAGGUGAGGAUUCAAGGAGGUACUCUCUGUCAGUUCCUGCAGGAUCAGCACCCAGAAAUGAGUGCUUCAUUGCAGGGGUCCAGCCCAGCACGCGUGGUGCAGAGUGUGCAGAAAGCAGAAUGGAGGAACAGAUUGUUUUCUUCCACAGGAGGGACCUUGGGAAGCUUCCUACUUAUUUCAGGGGUGCUGCAGUCACCAAAGUUCUUUGUGUUUGUUUUUGUUUUUGGAACUCCCCUUUAAGAUAUGUCUUUGGACUUUGUAUUUCCAAAUAUUUCUUAAAUCUAUCCAUUUCUCGUCAUCCUUUCAGCCUGUGUUCUCAUUUAGAUACUUACCAUUUCUUAAUCUUUAAUAUGGAAACAUCUCACUUGUUCAUUCUCUGUCUGCACCCCUUCAGUUAAUUUUCCACACUGUUGUUAGAAUUAUCUUUUUUUCUUUGAUCAUAUCUUUUGGCUGGCAUUCAAUGCUUUGUACCACCUGGUCUUGUUCUACUUUUCCAGGAUUCUGUCUACUCCUCCAUAGGAACAAUGUUGCUUUGAAUACUAGCGUACUAGUCUUUGUUUGGAUGUAUAUUCAUUUCUUUUGGGUAUAUAAUUUUGGUGUGGAAUUGCUUGGUCCUAUAGUAACAUUUUGAGAAACUGCCAAUCUGUUUUCCAGAGCAGCUGUGCCAUUUUUCAUUCCUACCAGCAAUGUAUGAGAGUUCCAGUUUCUCCACUUCCUCAUCAACACCUGGUAUUGUUUAUCUUCUUAACUGUAACUAUAUUAAAGGGUGUAUAGUAGUAACUCACUGUGGUUUUGAUUUGUAUUUUCCUAACAAUGAUUUUGAGCAUCUUUUCAUAUGUUCAUUAGCCAUUCACAUUUCUUUAGAAAAAUGCCUAUUCAAAUUCUUUGCCUAUUAUUUUAAUUUUUUUAAAUUUUUUUGGUAUCGGGGAUUGAACUUGGGACCUUGCACUUGCGAGGCAGGUGCUGGAACCACUGAGCUAAAUCCCCAG
Molecule: long non-coding RNA, 1308 nt
Filed under: Heterocephalus glaber (naked mole-rat)
Lineage: Eukaryota; Metazoa; Chordata; Mammalia; Rodentia; Bathyergidae
Description: lncRNA (ENSHGLG00100044866.1)
Source: RNAcentral